RNAcentral lists this ribosomal RNA (1381 nucleotides) under uncultured organism. RNAcentral describes it as "16S ribosomal RNA". It matches the Rfam family "Bacterial small subunit ribosomal RNA". The record is from RNAcentral.
GGCUCAGAUUGAACGCUGGCGGCAUGGCUAAAGCAUGCAAGUCGAACGCUCCCCUCCGGGGGAGAGUGGCGAACGGGCGAGUAACGCGUUCCUAACGUGCCCCAAGGCAGGGGAUAGCUGGGGGAAACCCCAGGUAAUACCCGAUAACCCGAUGAGUCGCAUGGCUCGUCGGAAAAGUUCCGGCGCCUUGGGAUCGGGGAACGUCCUAUCAGGUUGUUGGUGAGGUAAUGGCUCACCAAGCCAAAGACGGGUAGCGGGUGUGAGAGCACGACCCGCCGCAUCGGGACUGAGACACUGCCCGGACUCCUACGGGAGGCUGCAGCAACGAAUCUUCCGCAAUGGACGAAAGUCUGACGGAGCAAUGCCGUGUGCGGGCUAAGCCCUAUGGGGUGUAAACCGCUGUCAGGGGAAAGAAAUUCUGAUCUACCCCAGAGGAAGGGCCGGCUAACUUCGUGCCAGCAGCCGCGGUAAUACGAAGGGCCCGAGCGUUAAUCGGAAUCACUGGGCUUAAAGAGCGUGUAGGCGGACGUGUAAGUGCUUUGUGAAAUCCCACAGCUCAACUGUGGAACUGCUCGGCAAACUACACGUCUUGAGGUCGGUAGGGGUCACUGGAACUGUAGGUGGAGCGGUGAAAUGCGUAGAUAUCUACAGGAACGCCAAUGGUGAAGACAGGUGACUGGGCCGGUCCUGACGCUGAGACGCGAAAGCGUGGGGAGCAAACGGGAUUAGAUACCCCGGUAGUCCACGCCGUAAACGAUGUGCACUGGGUCGCGAAGGUUCUCACACCGGCGCGGCCGAAGCUAAAGUAUUAAGUGCACCGCCUGGGGAGUACGGUCGCAAGGCUAAAACUCAAAGGAAUUGACGGGGGCUCACACAAGCGGUGGAACAUGUGGCUUAAUUCGAAGCAACGCGAAGAACCUUAUCCUAGGCUUGACAUGCUCGGAUUAUCUCCAUGAAAGUGGAGUACGCUCUUUGAGUGGAACGAGCACAGGUGCUGCAUGGCUGUCGUCAGCUCGUGCUGUGAAGUGUCGGGUUAAGUCCCUUAACGAGCGAAACCCCUGUCGCUAGUUGCCAGCAAUUCGGUUGGGGACUCUAGCGAGACUGCCGGUGUCAAACCGGAGGAAGGUGGGGACGACGUCAAGUCAUCAUGGCCUUUAUGCCUAGGGCUGCACACGCGUUACAAUGGCGAGUACAGAGGGCCGCAAUACCGCAAGGUGGAGCAAAUCCCAAAAAGCUCGCCCCAGUUCAGAUCGGGGUCUGCAACUCGACCCCGUGAAGGUGGAAUCGCUAGUAAUCGCGUAUCAGCUCGACGCGGUGAUACGUUCCUGAGCAUUGUACACACCGCCCGUCAAGUCAUGGAAGCUGGGAGCACCCGAAGUCG